Molecule: long non-coding RNA, 176 nt
Organism: Ochotona princeps (American pika)
Lineage: Eukaryota; Metazoa; Chordata; Mammalia; Lagomorpha; Ochotonidae
Exons: 3
Source: RefSeq, a predicted model, not a curated record
CUCUCACUUGAAGGUGGAUAAGCAAUUUUUCCAAGACCUGCUACAGAGCGGGAGCCAAGUUAAGGAAAGCCAUAAAGUGCCAACAACCGAAAAAUUUUAGGAUCUGGUGAGCUGUGUCAGAACAAAUGAAGAAUGCAAGGAGGAAUCAACGUUUCAGCAAUAAAGACUUUAAAAAU